CAGCCAGGUAGCGUGAAGGAUGACUGCCCUACGGGUUGUAAACUUCUUUUAUGCGGGAAUAAAGUGCGCCACGUGUGGCGUUUUGUAUGUACCGCAUGAAUAAGCAUCGGCUAAUUCCGUGCCAGCAGCCGCGGUAAUACGGAAGAUGCGAGCGUUAUCCGGAUUUAUUGGGUUUAAAGGGAGCGUAGGCGGACGCUUAAGUCUGCGGUAAAAUGUCGAUGCUCAACAUCGGCCUGCCGUGGAAACUGGGUGUCUUGAAUGUGCACAAGGUGGAUGGAAUUCGUGGUGUAGCGGUGAAAUGCUUAGAUAUCACGAAGAACUCCGAUUGCGAAGGCAGUCCACUGGGGCAUGAUUGACGCUGAGGCUCGAAAGUGCGGGAAUCAAACAGGAUUAGAUACCCUGGUAGUCCGCACCGUAAACGAUGAAUGCUCGUUAUGGGCGAUAUACAGUCCGUGACCAAGCGAAAGCAUUAAGCAUUCCACCUGGGGAGUACGCCGGCAACGGUGAAACUCAAAGGAAUUGACGG
RNAcentral lists this ribosomal RNA (526 nucleotides) under uncultured bacterium. RNAcentral describes it as "bacterial SSU rRNA". It matches the Rfam family "Bacterial small subunit ribosomal RNA", at positions 389 to 916 of the family's 1533-position model. The record is from RNAcentral.